GACGAACGCUGGCGGCGUGCUUAACACAUGCAAGUCGAACGGAAAGGCCCUGCUUUUGUGGGGUGCUCGAGUGGCGAACGGGUGAGUAACACGUGAGUAACCUGCCCUUGACUUUGGGAUAACUUCAGGAAACUGGGGCUAAUACCGGAUAGGAGCUCCUGCUGCAUGGUGGGGGUUGGAAAGUUUCGGCGGUUGGGGAUGGACUCGCGGCUUAUCAGCUUGUUGGUGGGGUAGUGGCUUACCAAGGCCUUGACGGGUAGCCGGCCUGAGAGGGUGACCGGCCACAUUGGGACUGAGAUACGGCCCAGACUCCUACGGGAGGCAGCAGCGGGGAAUAUUGCACAAUGGGCGGAAGCCUGAUGCAGCAACGCCGCGUGCGGGAUGACGGCCUUCGGGUUGUAAACCGCUUUCGCCUGUGACGAAGCGUGAGUGACGGUAAUGGGUAAAGAAGCACCGGCUAACUACGUG
Molecule: ribosomal RNA, 468 nt
Filed under: uncultured bacterium
Lineage: Bacteria
Description: partial 16S ribosomal RNA
Rfam family: Bacterial small subunit ribosomal RNA
Source: RNAcentral